This 484-nucleotide ribosomal RNA is filed under the name uncultured bacterium. Its description in RNAcentral is "partial 16S ribosomal RNA". It matches the Rfam family "Bacterial small subunit ribosomal RNA", at positions 29 to 507 of the family's 1533-position model. The record is from RNAcentral.
AUUGAACGCUGGCGGCAUGCUUUACACAUGCAAGUCGAACGGCAGCGCGGGCUUCGGCCUGGCGGCGAGUGGCGAACGGGUGAGUAAUACAUCGGAACGUGCCCAGUAGUGGGGGAUAGCUCGGCGAAAGCCGGAUCAAUACCGCAUACGACCUGAGGGUGAAAGCGGGGGAUCUUCGGACCUCGCGCUAUUGGAGCGGCCGAUGGCAGAUUAGCUAGUUGGUGGGGUAAAGGCCUACCAAGGCGACGAUCUGUAGCUGGUCUGAGAGGACGACCAGCCACACUGGGACUGAGACACGGCCCAGACUCCUACGGGAGGCAGCAGUGGGGAAUUUUGGACAAUGGGCGAAAGCCUGAUCCAGCAAUGCCGCGUGUGUGAUGAAGGCCCUCGGGUUGUAAAGCACUUUUGGCGGGAACGAAAAGGACUGUGCCAAUACCACGGUUCGAUGACGGUACCCGCAGAAUAAGCACCGGCUAACUACGUG